Molecule: ribosomal RNA, 468 nt
Filed under: uncultured bacterium
Lineage: Bacteria
Description: partial 16S ribosomal RNA
Rfam family: Bacterial small subunit ribosomal RNA
Source: RNAcentral
GACGAACGCUGGCGGCGUGCUUAACACAUGCAAGUCGAACGGAAAGGCCCUGCUUUUGUGCGGUGCUCGAGUGGCGAACGGGUGAGUAACACGUGAGUAACCUGCCCUUGUCUUUGGGAUAGCUUCAGGAAACUGAGGCUAAUACCGGAUAGGAGCUCCUGCUGCAGGGUGAGCGUUGGAUAGUUUCGGCGGUUGGGGAUGGACUCGCGGCUUAUCAGCUUGUUGGUGGGGUAGUGGCUUACCAAGGCCUUGACGGGUAGCCGGCCUGGGAGGGUGACCGGCCACAUUGGGCCUGAGAUACGGCCCAGCCUCGAACGGGAGGCAGCGGUGGGGAAUAUUGUCCAAUAGGCGGAAGCCUGCUGCAGCCACGCCGCGUGCGGGAUGACGGCCUUCGGGUUGUGAACCGCUUCCGCCUGUGACGAAGCGUGAGUGACGGUAAUGGGUAAAGAAGCACCGGCUAACUACGUG